GACGUAGGUGGCGAACGUUAUCCGGAAUUAUUGGGCGUAAAGGGUGCGUAGAUGGCUUGAUAAGUUAGCAGUGGGAAAUCGAGGCUCAACCUCGUGGAAGCUGGUAAUACUGUCAGGCUCGAGUGCAGGAGAGGUUAACGGAACUCCAUGUGGAGCGGUAAAAUGUGUAGAUAUUCGGAAGAACACCAGUGGCGAAGGCGACUUACUGGACACAUAUUGACGCUGAGGUGCGAAAUCGUGGGGAGCAAACAGG
Molecule: ribosomal RNA, 253 nt
Filed under: uncultured bacterium
Lineage: Bacteria
Description: partial 16S ribosomal RNA
Rfam family: Bacterial small subunit ribosomal RNA
Source: RNAcentral